UGGGGACACUGUUGGGACCGCCUCUGCUAAAGAGGAGGAAGGAAUGGGCAACGGUAGGUCAGCAUGCCCCGAAUUAUCUGGGCUACACGCGGGCUACAAUGGGUGGGACAAUGGGUAUCGACACCGAAAGGUGAAGGCAAUCUCCUAAACCCAUCCGUAGUUCGGAUUGUGGGCUGCAACUCGCCCACAUGAAGCUGGAAUCUGUAGUAAUCGUGUCUCAAAAUGGCACGGUGAAUAUGUCCCUGCUCCUU
RNAcentral lists this ribosomal RNA (251 nucleotides) under uncultured Methanomicrobiales archaeon. RNAcentral describes it as "partial 16S ribosomal RNA". It matches the Rfam family "Archaeal small subunit ribosomal RNA", at positions 1088 to 1338 of the family's 1478-position model. Lineage: Archaea; Methanobacteriati; Methanobacteriota; Methanomicrobia; Methanomicrobiales. The record is from RNAcentral.